Molecule: long non-coding RNA, 5399 nt
Organism: Poecilia latipinna (sailfin molly)
Lineage: Eukaryota; Metazoa; Chordata; Actinopteri; Cyprinodontiformes; Poeciliidae
Exons: 2
Source: RefSeq, a predicted model, not a curated record
UUUCUUUCUUUCUUAGAAACGCCAUGUAUUAUUCGAACUGCACUUCAGUAUGUAAUUUUCAGAGCCAAAGUAGGGCGGUCACAUUUCUCACUGAGCUAAAGCUUAAUUGUCCUAGUCGAGAGGUGGAUAUCAUGGCCUGCUUCAUUUCAGUAGCAUGUACUUGGUAAUCGGAUGCCAAAAAAAAAAAAAAACACAGUCGCAUGAAGCACUUAUGCUGGCCUUUUCGUGGUGUGAUGCAAGCAUUGCUGUUGGUGAGACAAUGUGUCGAAUACACAAAGAUGAGGAAAAAAAACAAAAGAAUCAUUGAUGUGCGCAUCGAGAGAGAAAAAAACAAACAUGCAAACAGCGACCUACCUGCCACAUUGUUUAUUGAAAUUAACGGCAAAUGAUGAAAGAUUCUCCGUCGCAAAAUCCCGGUCGUCUGCCGUCGUCGCUGUCAAACUGAAUUAUUGUGAGACGCGAGAAACAACCCGUUUCUGAAUGUGAACGUUGUGGUGAUUUAGUUAAAAGAGAAUCAAACAGUUAUGGAGUUUAUGAAAAUAAUUUUCUUUAAAUCAGUAGCAGAAGCCUUGGUUCAGCAUCCUGAGCUCCAAGAUGUUUUAUUUUGGAGGUUGAUACAAUGGAAGAUGAAAUUAUGCCUAAAUGUGGAUUAAUUAACUUAUUUAGUUUUUUCUUCUUAGUGCAACGUUUACCAAGGCUUCGGUACCGUCACACUCGUGUCUAUUUUUUGAUUGGUAGUCUGUCCUUCCUUGAACCUACAGCGCAAACGCUGAAAAAUAAAGCCUAUGCAUAAUUGAAUCACCUGGACCAAAAUAACUCCACCAUGUCAGUGCAAAAAAAAAAAAAGAAACAAUCUCCGAGGUACUGUGAUUGUAAUCACGGAGCAUGAACAAAGGGGAAUGUUAUGUCGCUGUGCGGAGCGGAGCGGUGGCCCGGUCUUUCUGAAAAAUAGAAUAAAGCAGAGCCAAAUAAUGCUGGUGACGGUUUAUUCACUGGCCAGGACCACAAAGGAAAGGUUAUCAAACGGUGUUUGAAUCAACAUGUAAAACUCGAAAUCCCAAAAUUAUUUGGAUUUCGGUGCUGAUGGGAGAACGUUAAUCCAGAAGAUUUCAUGUGUAGUCGAUGAAGCGUAUUGUAACAAUGGAACUUAAGUAACUAAAAGCCAGACUAGUGGAUCACUUGAACAGUCCUUGAUGGUUAAUUUUUUUAGGUUUUGUUCACUUCUUUAAGUUCCAUGUUAUAUGGAUGGAAUACGCACCGGACUAAGCGUUACAUUUCUUGGUAAUAAAUCACUGAAAUGAUAAACUCCCUUCUGCCUCCUACGAAUGCGACGUUGGUUGUAGACCAUUUUCAUCCGAGUCUCUGACUGUGCAGAUGCUGAUUUGUUUGUUUUUUAAUAGAAAAAAAUUCAGAAACCUCUAUCCAUAGUUGUGCAGGCAGAGUCUUAGUUUGAACUUUCUUCUUGAUACUCCCCAAUCAAUGUAAAACAACAAUCCACCAAAUCUUCUAAGUUGUCAUUUGCUUCACGGAGAAGUCGUAAACCUGCUUCCACAGCCGAGUGAUCCGAGCGAGCUGAUCCCAUCGAGUGAGAAAAAGGAAGCCGUUCGAUUGGAUAGCGGGCGCCAUCCGUUCCCACCCUGACCACAGACAUGCAGGUUACAGUGUCCCUGUCUGACUUUAUCUCUCGGAGCACCGACUCAUCUUCAGACCCAAGGUUUCAGGCCCGACUCUUGCUCGAGAUAAAGCCUGAAAUAGACCACUCUCGCUGACAGCGAGGCGGCGUUAGAUAAGGCUGUUGUGUCCACAGCUUGGAGCUGGAAAUGGAGAGGGAGCGCAGAGGAGAGAGAGUGUAUGCAUGAGCAAGUAAGCAGAAUACAGUUGUGAGAUUGCAAUUCCGUUGAAGGGUUCUGCUGUAUGUGUUCGGCCUCCGACCCCCUUGUUCAAACACAGAUAAAAGGAGGGGAAGUUAUAGAACUGCACAAAUCUUUUGCACCCUUGCUUUUCUCGCCGAUUGAUUGCGCCUAUUGACCCGUGUGGCUUAAAGCCCCAGCCAAUUUGGUCACCCUGGCUUACAAAGAUAAGAAAAUUACCUUUUUUGCAACGCGCACGCUUGCGCGUAAACGCACGCCGGCACGCGUGCAUACCGAGGUGAACGGGCUCGACGGCGGCGUUUUAUUAAGCCUCCGCCAGACGCCGAGCAGCAAAAAGUGCAUCUGAAAUGGCUUUCCUGCAUUGGCAUGCGGAAGCCAAUCAAUAAUUGUGUGUCUUAGUAAAUUAGAUCCUGCAGACAAGAGGCAGUAGUCAGCAGAGCCAUCCCAGAGUAACCCCUUGCCUGGUUAGUUCAUUCUUCAUUAGACAAUGGCCCGGAGUAAUUGAAUUGGCCUGUACAAGCUGAGGGCUUGGCCUUCGCUUUUUCGCCUUUGACAGCAUAUAUUCAGAUCUGAUGGCUGUAGACCAGAGCCAAGAGCCCAUUUAUGACGGAGAGCCAAAGUUAAGACACUUAAAAGUACAUCUGCAAUCAAAUACCUUUAGUUUAAUGUCCACGUCCUGGGAUUGAUAAUCAAUAGGAUGCUGGUCCGUUGAAGUUAGAACUACAAAUCAAUGUCUCGUGACUGAACAAAAUCAGAUUUUUAUCAUACUUCUGUACUUUCCUCACUCAUUAUUCCAGAGUUGACCAUCACAAUGGCCAGACAAUGGGAACACAUGGGUGGAUGGAUGGGAGCAUGUGAUGCUUAAAUUUCCAUCAUUUGCCUCUACAUGAACUACGUUUUUGUGAUAUUCCCAAAUUCAUUAUUUGUUUUUAUCAGCAGUUGGCACGAACCUAGGAGUAUUUGACGUUUUCAAUGUUUUGUUGAAAAUAUCGACUGCCACGUCCAUCUGACUGAGUUUUUUGUGUUUUUUUUUUUGUCUUGGGUUUCUUGAAUCGUUUUAUUUAAUUUCCUUGUCAAUUUCGCCUAGUCAACAAUUAUAAUGGUGAAAAACCUCAGGACGUUUCAGAAAAUGCACCCAAGUUGGGACUCGAAUUUUAAAUCAGAUUUGUUUUUCAAAAUAAGAUGGAGGUCAAAGUUAUAUAUUUUCCCUCCCGUUCUAGCCUGGCAGGUCUGCUGGGAGACCUCUGUCUGUUGUCAGCGGUCAAAGGUCAAGAGUUUGUGUAGCUCCUGAGCAGCCUGGGAAUCUGCCACCAUCCAUCGCAAGCAGCAGGUAAUGGAUCGAGCGAGCGCGGGACCUGAUGUGGCUGCAGAUGAGCCGGCCCCGUGGGCGUGAGAGUGGGUGUUCAAAUGGAUUUGGAGAAGCUCGCCUGGAGUACCAGCACACCUAGAACUUAGUGUUCACUCCUCGGUGCCAAACCCUUCACAUCUCCUCAUUUCUUCCCUCAAAGACAAAACAAAAACAAAAAAACAAACCCGUGACAGCAGGAUGCUGGAAUGCUGUUGUCGGGUUGGUUAGGGGACAUUUUGAUGCUAUCAGGACGCUCUUUCUCGACACUCUCUAAUCCCGGCAGUGUCGCAAAAGCACUCUGUUCUACUUUCUCGCUGUGAUUGCUGAAGCAUAGAUCAGGAGCCUUAUAAAGGUAGCGCCCACCCCGAUGUCACAAUAUCACUGCUGGAAAUCAUAAAUUGUUUGAGUGUACGCCAUGUGUUCAGAGCAGUUGUGGAGUGCAGAGUAAAUGGCUCCAAACUAAAAGAUGAAAAAAGAAAAAAAAGCUACAGGAUGCUGCACUCUCCACAGAAUCCUAGCAGAACACUGGAAGCUAAUACUCACAAACAUCUGUUAAUAAAUAAUGGAUGAAGAUGAAAUACUUGUAUGGGCCACUCUAGAACAGAUGUUAUUUAUAGCGUCAUAGAGCUACGGUCUCAAUCACGGCUGAUGAAAUUUAAUAUGAGACGUUUAUUUUGCAAUAUCCUAAAGGUACAUAGUCGUGUAUUACAACUUUAUGGAUUUUUUUUUGAAGCUACGUUUUGUCAUAUCAGAUCUAAUUUUGCAUGUAUUUUUGGGGGAGGAUAUCAUGGAAUAGGCCGACACAAAUUAAUAGGACAGCAACCCUAAACUAACCUGAAAUUUUAAAUAAAUUCUUAGUAUUUUCGCCCAGUGUGCCUUGGCUUCGGGGCAUUAUUUAUAAAAUAUACGCAAUGUGGCAAAAUGACCAGAAGGGCAUAUCCUGGGGGUAGAAAUAGUACUUAAGAAUGUAUCCACUUUUGCGUUAAUUUAAAAAAAGAAAAAUUGACCAAACUUGUUGGCUGUCCUAGAUUUAUCUUUAAGUUGCUAAACGAGAGGGGGAAAGGGAGGAAAAGAUCUUAUGUGUCAAGUUUUGACUUUGUUGUCAAAACCUUAGUGUUUCCAACCCUGCACCUUUAUUAUGAACUGUCAAAAGAAAAAAACUUUGAGUUAUUCUGGGUUUUCUUUUUGUUGUUUUCUAUUAUAAUCCACCAAGAAGCCGUUCACAGUACCAUUAAGAAUUUGUAAAAAAAAAACAACAAAAAAAACCUUUUAACCACGACUGUUUUUCUUUGCAUAUACAAACAAAAUGAAAAAUCUAAAUGGACCAAAAAGAGAGGAAUGCUCUCAUAUAAAAGAGUUACAUUUACAAGACAGCUGGAACUCUAAAUUCCAGUUUCCUUAAACUGAACUGCUGCGUAUUUUCUGUCUGUGAGAGAUCCAGGUGUCAUUUUAUGUGUUUGUGUACACUGAAAAUGUUUGGCCUUGGACCAAAUGAAAAUGCAUCCUGGCAUUGAAAACAUUUUUUUUUUUUUUCUUGGUUUAUUAGAACACAUUUUGGGGGCGGGAGGGUGGCAGCAUGUGCUCAUGUGGCUGCACUUGAGAGAGAUGAUGGGAGGGCACAGCGGCCGCCUGCAGGCACCGGCGGCAGCACAUUGUCGGGGGCAAAUUCGAGGCCAGACACCUGUUCUCCCAAAAUGAAUUAUGAAAUGAAGACAAGCAUCCACUGUUCUCUGCGCGUUUGGGCAAACGGGGGACGAGGCCAAAGACCUGGGGAGAAACGAAAUGAAGGCGCACGUUAAGCAACGAGACAGCCAGAGGAAGAAAUCAAGGUUAUGAGUCCUUGUUAACUUUAAUAGACUCUGAUGAAGCCGAAUGGAAUUCGAAUAGAUUUUUCUGCUGCGUGCUUCCCCUUUGUGCCGAUGCAACUAAAUUAAAAUAACUGCAGAGAGUCAUUUAAAUCUUAUGAAAUAUCGCUGUUCAUGAGCACGCUGCCAGUUGCCCCAUAAAGUGAAGAUGUAGCUGCUGUUAUUUAUACGUAUGAGUCAGACAUGCUUUGUCCCACGUUAGCUCGCGUCCCUAUUUUAUUUCACAAUGCGAACACAACCGCAGCGCAAGGUAGUCAGUGAUUCAGCAGCACUUGAUUUUGUAAGCAAAUUUACCUCCAGUGGGUAAAAAAAAAA